AGAAGGCCCAGAGACGUGCCUUCCUCUUCUUUCCAGGGUCCUGGCCUGUCUUGUCUGUUGGGCGGGUAUGCUUCCUUCCUGGCCUUCCUUGUGGAGCAUGUCUGGGAGUGUGCUAGGAAAUGAGGGAGGAAAAUAUGUAACUUGAUAUCUGCUCCUUGACCCUGGCUGACCUGGUUAACUCUCUCCAGGAUGGAAGCAAAGCCUGCCCGGGAAACCUUCCAUUGCAGGAACAUCUCGGCCUGAAGCUGUCAUCAGGGAGCAGGAUCUGCUUCCCGGACUCUGAGCAGAACAAUGGGAGCCCCAGCAGGCUGGCGAGGCUGACAAGCCCUAGGACGGUGACCUCUCCGAUCUCCAGAUCGGAAACUCAGAAACGUGUAAGUGCCAGAAUCCGCAUUUGGGAAUCUGUUAUUUCUCCCUCUGCGAGUCAACCUGAUCACCCUGGAAGCCUCACUGUCUCUCAGCCCUUGUUCCCAUUUUUCUUUCCAUGAACACCGCAAUCAGAUACGAGAUUCCAGUAAUGAUGGUUCUUGAAAAUUAAACAAAUCAAAAAGAAAGCCAGCCAAGGUAUGGAGUGGGGGACCUCUAAGUUCCCCUGGAGGAGACACUGGGGCCAGGUUCCGAGGUGCAUUCGGAGCCAGAAUCCCUAAUGGAAUUGAACAAUUAUCCUGAAGCUGCUCUCUGAAAGCCGCGGUUUUCCUAAAACACUGUGCUUGGCGUGCCUGGGCUUCUUGGCACUGGCCCAUGACCCACAGCAGCAAAUCGUUCCCAGGAAGCUAUUGUUAUUUGUGUAUCUGAUAGCAUUCAGCUGAGUACACUGACAGCAACAUUUAGAAAGGAAAAGAAAAAAGAAGCGUAGAGUGAAAAGGACAAAAAGGAGGCUUCCAACAUCCUGGUGGGAACAGAAAACCAGCAAAGCCUCUUUUCCAGCCCUUAUCCUUGUGAGUUUGGACUCUGCAGAACUGUCAUCCCCCAGGCAUAGCUGCAGCUUGUAUGAAGGUGGGCAUCAGGCGCGGAGAUUCAGGACAGUGUGCACCUGCUUUCCUCCAACGGGACCCCCUCUGUUCUUCCCAGGAAUGCCUGUAAACUGCCACUGCCUCUAGGGGCUGCACCAAGUCCCUGUGUACUCCCAGGACACAAUGGAGUGGAAUGGAGUGGCUCUGUUCUGUCAGGGCCUAACAUUCCAAAUGAAUUCAUUCCCUUCUGGGAAAAAAGAACCACCUUGCUCAGAGCACAAUGUUCCCAUGUCUUGGCUUACCUUGAAGCAUUUUUGAUACACCUGUUGGGACAAUGCGUUCUGCCAAGAGAAGGGAAGUAGCAUACUUUGUUCUAUUUUUUACUCUCAAUGGGCUACGUUUCCAUUGUGUUGGUUUCCCUUACAGAAAGUAACACACACAGAAGAGAAGGUUAUAGGAUUCCAUGCUGCUUGGCAAAGGCACAAAAUAUGUGCACAUAUUUACAUGGAAUAUGAGGGUAAACUAGAAAAUUAAGGGUAAUCUAAAAUAGAAAAAAAGAAGAAAACAAUAAGUUAAAAGUAUGAAAAGACAUCCAGAAUGAGCAAGUUACUGAGGUUGUGCCUCAACUUUAGCUUGAGUUUCCUGGCAGCAAAGGUAAAAAGAAAGAGCACAGUGGCUGCAGCACAGAGCGUGAAUUGAGGGGAGCAAGACUGGCCACGGCGAGAAGGCAACACGCAGGUGAUCUUACAGCUGGAAAAUCAGUGGGUGAAAACGGAGAUACAGCAACUCUCACAGUGACGGGCUCUUGGCAGUCUGAAGAAGCAUGAACCAGAACUAAGCCUGGUCUCUCAGGAUUUGGUGGAUGUCUAAGUUGCAGGGUUAAGAAGUUGCAGUUCCUUCUUUCAACUCAACCUCUAGCAGUUGGAUACAGAAGCAAUUGUCGAACCUGGGCACCUAAGGGGACAGGACUGUCAGUGUCCUGGAAAUCAUGUUCUUCUCUUUGGUUUUCACCACCUCUUAAUGGCAUAUCUUCUAUAUUUCCUUUAAUGCGAACACAGGUAACGAGUUGGUUAUAACCCUUUUCUCAGGGCCAGGCUGCCAUGCCAUCGCUCCUCCAGAGAGCAAACACGAAACAUGAUCCUAUGGCAAGAACAUACAAUGCCAGGUCCCUGGAUUUAGGUCCUGCUCUGUCAUUGACUGUAUAUUCCCAUAAAGAAGAUUAAAACUC
This 2181-nucleotide long non-coding RNA is filed under the name Homo sapiens (human). Its description in RNAcentral is "HSALNT0356530". The record is from RNAcentral. Lineage: Eukaryota; Metazoa; Chordata; Mammalia; Primates; Hominidae.